CUUAAUUAAGUUUUACAUCAACAUGGUUAAAGUUUUGAAAAUAAUUUUCACAUGUAAAUAAUAAAAUCUUUUAGAUCAAAUUUAAACUUUUUAUGACUUUAAAUCAAAAUAAUUUUGUAAAACAAGAUUAGAUGUAACUAACUUCUUUGCAACUUGCAGCACGUACAAAAAUACUUAGGGUUUCAAGGUCUAGGAUUUUACAAAAAAGUAAGUUUUCUCCUUUCGCUUUUUUUUUCAUGGGAUCUAAUCACAUGGCACCCC
RNAcentral lists this long non-coding RNA (261 nucleotides) under Elaeis guineensis (African oil palm). RNAcentral describes it as "long non-coding RNA (EGUI_LNC048350)". The record is from RNAcentral. Lineage: Eukaryota; Viridiplantae; Streptophyta; Magnoliopsida; Arecales; Arecaceae.